Molecule: ribosomal RNA, 325 nt
Filed under: Metarhizium anisopliae
Lineage: Eukaryota; Fungi; Ascomycota; Sordariomycetes; Hypocreales; Clavicipitaceae
Description: eukaryotic LSU rRNA
Rfam family: 5.8S ribosomal RNA (bases 1-86)
Source: RNAcentral
GNNNUUGCAGAAUUCAGUGAUCAUCGAAUCUUUGAACGCACAUUGCGCCCGUCAGUAUUCUGGCGGGCAUGCCUGUUCGAGCGUCAUUACGCCCCUCAAGUCCCCUGUGGACUUGGUGUUGGGGAUCGGCGAGGCUGGUUUUCCAGCACAGCCGUCCCUUAAAUUAAUUGGCGGUCUCGCCGUGGCCCUCCUCUGCGCAGUAGUAAAGCACUCGCAACAGGAGCCCGGCGCGGUCCACUGCCGUAAAACCCCCCAACUUUUUAUAGUUGACCUCGAAUCAGGUAGGACUACCCGCUGAACUUAAGCAUAUCAAUAAGCGGAGGAA